GGUUGACCUCGGAUCAGGUAGGGAUACCCGCUGAACUUAAGCAUAUCAAUAAGCGGAGGAAAAGAAACCAACAGGGAUUGCCUCAGUAACGGCGAGUGAAGCGGCAACGGCUCAAAUUUGAAAUCUGGCCCUCCGGCCCGAGUUGUAAUUUGCAGAGGGUGCCUCGGGGGCGACGCCGGCCUAAGUUCCCUGGAACGGGACGUCACAGAGGGUGAGAAUCCCGUACGUGGCCGGCCGUCCAUCCCGGGUGAGGCCCCUUCGACGAGUCGAGUUGUUUGGGAAUGCAGCUCCAAACGGGUGGUAAAUUCCAUCUAAAGCUAAAUACCGGCCGGAGACCGAUAGCGCACAAGUAGAGUGAUCGAAAGAUGAAAAGCACUUUGGAAAGAGAGUCAAACAGUACGUGAAAUUGUUGAAAGGGAAGCGCUUGCGACCAGACUUGUCCGCGGGCCAUCAGCCGUCCUUCGGGGCGGUGCACUGACCCGCGAUCAGGCCAGCAUCGGUUUCGGCGGCCGGACAAGGGCCCGGGAACGUAGCUCCCCCGGGGAGUGUAUAGCCCGG
Molecule: ribosomal RNA, 558 nt
Filed under: Rimularia gibbosa
Lineage: Eukaryota; Fungi; Ascomycota; Lecanoromycetes; Trapeliales; Trapeliaceae
Description: eukaryotic LSU rRNA
Rfam family: Eukaryotic large subunit ribosomal RNA
Source: RNAcentral